RNAcentral lists this transfer RNA (75 nucleotides) under Nitrospirota bacterium. RNAcentral describes it as "Nitrospirae bacterium (groundwater metagenome) tRNA-Glu". It matches the Rfam family "tRNA". From Rfam's summary of the family: Transfer RNA (tRNA) molecules are approximately 80 nucleotides in length. Their secondary structure includes four short double-helical elements and three loops (D, anti-codon, and T loops). Further hydrogen bonds mediate the characteristic L-shaped molecular structure. tRNAs have two regions of fundamental functional importance: the anti-codon, which is responsible for specific mRNA codon recognition, and the 3' end, to which the tRNAs corresponding amino acid is attached (by aminoacyl-tRNA synthetases). tRNAs cope with the degeneracy of the genetic code in two manners: having more than one tRNA (with a specific anti-codon) for a particular amino acid; and 'wobble' base-pairing, i.e. permitting non-standard base-pairing at the 3rd anti-codon position. The record is from RNAcentral. Lineage: Bacteria; Pseudomonadati; Nitrospirota.
GUCCCCAUCGUCUAGCCCGGCCUAGGACACCGCCCUUUCACGGCGGUAACACGAGUUCAAAUCUCGUUGGGGACA